Molecule: ribosomal RNA, 497 nt
Filed under: uncultured bacterium
Lineage: Bacteria
Description: partial 16S ribosomal RNA
Rfam family: Bacterial small subunit ribosomal RNA
Source: RNAcentral
GAUGAACGCUGGCGGCGUGCCUAAUACAUGCAAGUCGAGCGAACGGACGAGAAGCUUGCUUCUCUGAUGUUAGCGGCGGACGGGUGAGUAACACGUGGAUAACCUACCUAUAAGACUGGGAUAACUUCGGGAAACCGGAGCUAAUACCGGAUAAUAUUUUGAACCGCAUGGUUCAAAAGUGAAAGACGGUCUUGCUGUCACUUAUAGAUGGAUCCGCGCUGCAUUAGCUAGUUGGUAAGGUAACGGCUUACCAAGGCAACGAUGCAUAGCCGACCUGAGAGGGUGAUCGGCCACACUGGAACUGAGACACGGUCCAGACUCCUACGGGAGGCAGCAGUGGGGAAUCUUCCGCAAUGGGCGAAAGCCUGACGGAGCAACGCCGCGUGAGUGAUGAAGGUCUUCGGAUCGUAAAACUCUGUUAUUAGGGAAGAACAUAUGUGUAAGUAACUGUGCACAUCUUGACGGUACCUAAUCAGAAAGCCACGGCUAACUACGUA